UUGGGCAUGUGUUGCAUUUUUGUUGUGUAUAUAGUGGUUGGUAUAAAUAUUUUUGUUGUUUUCGAAUCCCCUUGGGCAUGUGUUGCAUUUUUGUUGUAUAUAUAGUAGUUGGUAUAAAUAUAAAUAUUUUUGUUGUGUAUAUAGUGGUUGGUAUAAAUAUAAAUAUUUUUGUUGUGUAUAUAGUGGUUGAUAUAAAUAUAAAUAUUUUUGUAAAUAAUAUAAAAGACAAAAAAAAUGAAAAAUAAAAAAAUUAAUUUUUAUAUAACCGUUAAUUUUUGUUGUAUAUAGU
RNAcentral lists this long non-coding RNA (289 nucleotides) under Amborella trichopoda. RNAcentral's name for it is "long non-coding RNA (ATRI_LNC003133)". The record is from RNAcentral. Lineage: Eukaryota; Viridiplantae; Streptophyta; Magnoliopsida; Amborellales; Amborellaceae.